UACGUAGGGUGCGAGCGUUGUCCGGAAUUAUUGGGCGUAAAGAGCUUGUAGGCGGUUUGUCGCGUCUGCUGUGAAAAUCCGAGGCUCAACCUCGGACUUGCAGUGGGUACGGGCAGACUAGAGUGUGGUAGGGGAGACUGGAAUUCCUGGUGUAGCGGUGAAAUGCGCAGAUAUCAGGAGGAACACCGAUGGCGAAGGCAGGUCUCUGGGCCACUACUGACGCUGAGAAGCGAAAGCAUGGGGAGCGAACAGGAUUA
This 257-nucleotide ribosomal RNA is filed under the name uncultured prokaryote. RNAcentral's name for it is "partial 16S ribosomal RNA". It matches the Rfam family "Bacterial small subunit ribosomal RNA", at positions 524 to 780 of the family's 1533-position model. The record is from RNAcentral.